This 253-nucleotide ribosomal RNA is filed under the name uncultured bacterium. RNAcentral describes it as "partial 16S ribosomal RNA". It matches the Rfam family "Bacterial small subunit ribosomal RNA", at positions 524 to 776 of the family's 1533-position model. The record is from RNAcentral.
UACGAACUGUGCGAACGUUAUUCGGAAUCACUGGGCUUACAGGGUGCGUAGGCGGCUUGUUAAGUAGGGUGUGAAAGCCCCCGGCUCAACCGGGGAAUUGCGCCCUAAACUGGCGAGCUGGAGUGAGAUAGGGGUGUGUGGAACUUCCGGUGGAGCGGUGAAAUGCGUUGAUAUUGGAAGGAACGCCGGAGGCGAAAGCGGCGCACUGGAUCUCUACUGACGCUGAGGCGCGAAAGCCAGGGGAGCAAACGGG